This is a non-coding RNA of Geopyxis carbonaria, 89 nucleotides long. Lineage: Eukaryota; Fungi; Ascomycota; Pezizomycetes; Pezizales; Tarzettaceae. The record is from the annotation of a GenBank genome assembly.
GAUUCAGUAGUGUAGGGGUAUCAUGGGCGCUUGCCAUCAUCACUGACAGCAUCUUGCGCCCGACCCGGGUUCAAAUCCCGGCUGAAUCA